Molecule: ribosomal RNA, 476 nt
Filed under: Diapteron cyanostictum (Gabon jewelfish)
Lineage: Eukaryota; Metazoa; Chordata; Actinopteri; Cyprinodontiformes; Nothobranchiidae
Description: Aphyosemion cyanostictum (Gabon jewelfish) partial 16S ribosomal RNA
Rfam family: Bacterial large subunit ribosomal RNA
Source: RNAcentral
AACGGCCGCGGUAUUCUGACCGUGCAAAGGUAGCGCAAUCACUUGUCUUUUAAAUAGAGACCUGUAUGAAUGGCAUAACGAGGGCUUAACUGUCUCCUUUUUCCUAUCAAUGAAAUUGAUUUCCCCGUGCAGAAGCGGGGAUACUGACAUAAGACGAGAAGACCCUAUGGAGCUUAAGCCGCAAGAACAGAACUUUACUCCUUUACCAAUCUAAAGGUAUGAAAUUCAUUGUUUUAAUCCUGUUCAAGUGUCUUUGGUUGGGGCGACCACGGAGCAUAUAAAAACCUCCACGAGGAAUGAAAAUAGUCCUUUUUUAUUUAAGGGUGACAACCCUAAAAACCAGAAUUUCUGACCAUUUGAUCCGGCAAAGCCGAUCAGCGAACCGAGUUACCCUAGGGAUAACAGCGCAAUCCUCUUCUAGAGUCCAUAUCGACAAGAGGGUUUACGACCUCGAUGUUGGAUCAGGACGUCCUAAU